UUUUCAAACUAUAAUAUGGCUUCAAAUUUUUUUCGUUUCUGUUUUGCUUCUCAGUUUAGUUUCAUGGAUAUGCAGUACCGAUUCAAAGAAGAAACAGAUGGGAUGAAGAAGGAAGCCAAGCCAAUAACCAUACAGCUUUUUCUUUACAGUGGGAUAGCCGCGUAUGUGAUACACACUGUUUGUUGUUGAGCUUCAACAGCGGAUCAAAUGUCUCAGUGCUGCAUGGAAGCAUGAGAGGACGUGUUUAUAUCUUGAGCUCGGGAUCACAUCUCAGUGAUUCCAUGAUCUAUUCUUGAAAUUUCGGCCGAGACAAAUAUGAAAGAUUGCAAGACUGCAGAAGUGUGGUAAGUAAGAAGUGGAUUAGAGCGGGAAGAAAAACGUUUUCCUGCCCUCGAGCCGACAUGGAGGUGUUCACUUACCGUUCAUUUGAAAGUUCUGUAUGUCUGAUCGUGUGCCGUCUGCUCCGACAUGAAGCAAAAACGUUUACAGUUGAUCAGUUGCUUAGUGGAAUUCGCUUGCAAGUUUGUGAGGUGAAUUCUUGGGGUAUGGGUUUUAUGUUAAACUCAAUUGAUGAGCUUUGCAUUCUCAGAGCGCUUGGAUGCAUGGAAGGCCUUCAAGGGCGCCUUGAGUUCAUGAGGUUCUUUGAAUUUCUCACUGUGGCCGCCCAGUGCAAACAGUGCACCUGUCCGGUACCCAAAUUGUUAUGGGGCACUUCUACCUUAGCGAAUCGCGAUAGCGUGGACCAGAGUCUUUCUUUCAGACCAGUGCCCUUCCGUCGCAGCUUUCCUUAUCGGCCUCUUGACCUCCGAAAUUGCCGCAGAAAUCGCCCAAAACUCGACUGAAUUUUACAGAAUCGGUGGCAUCGUUCACCGCUGCAUUCCCUCUAUGCGCAGCUCAUUAAGCCUUCUCGAUACUCUUGGUCCGGGCACACGAUUCAGACGAAAGAUGGGUACUUAAUGGGUUUGAGAUAUGAAGGACUAUGUCGUGUUUGUUAGUGCAAUUUCUGUUUGGUUUGAGACGUGAACGGGCUAAUGAGAUUGCUUUGGUGGGGGCUGAUCUGCGAGUAAAAUAUUGAUUCUCUGGACACUUGGUUAGUGAAAAGCCUAACUUUUAUAGCUCCUUCCAAUUUUUUCAACAUAUUGGUCCCAAUAAGUUUAUUAUUUCAAAAUUUGAACGUAUAGCUCACUAUUUGGUGCUCCCUCAUCUGAAGUUUUCAGGUUCUGUUGAAAUUUCCUUUUCUUGAAACUAACUAGUGGGUAAAGUGAUGAACAUCCAUGCGAUACAUGUUAAAUUAGGCUCUAAUAUGCUUCAAACUCAAUUGAACUUGGUAACUGGAUUUUCUUGAUCUUAACUAGGUGAUGCAUGAUUCUUAAAUUCUCCAGCAGAAUCGCUGGGAUUCGUCCUUGCAGAUGAAGGUUUCGUUGUAUGGGUAGGGAAUGUGUGUGGAACACGUUGAAGUCAUGGACACAUAUGUUUAUCAGAAGAGAAUAAGGUUUAUGCUUUAUUGUAGGAUUAUUGGGAUUGGAGUUCGCAGGAAUUGGCUCUAUUUGUAUUGUCAGAAAUAUGUGCUGCAUAUAUUCGACAACAAGCUCCAAAGUCUUUGUUGUUGGACAUUCACGGGGAACAAUCAUGCCUUUAGCUGCUCUCACCUAGCCGGAUAUAGCAGAACUGGUUGAAGCUGCCGCUCUUUUCUGUCCAAUAUCAUACUUGGAGCAUAUCACUUCUAAAUUUGCACUUAGAAUGGUCAUCAUAUAUAAUGAUCAGUGAAUGGGGCGUCAACUUUUUGGAUUCAAUAUGUGGUGGCCAUGUUGACUACUUGGACUAGUUGUAUAUGAUUUUGCUUUUCGUCGUCAGGGUUUAAAUACUAUGUUCCCCGUUGUAUGUUCUCUUUAAGUAAUAUAAUAUGGGCAUAAGGGUCUAACCCCCCAGCUUUGACUA
Molecule: non-coding RNA, 1938 nt
Organism: Malus domestica (apple)
Lineage: Eukaryota; Viridiplantae; Streptophyta; Magnoliopsida; Rosales; Rosaceae
Source: RefSeq, a predicted model, not a curated record